RNAcentral lists this ribosomal RNA (539 nucleotides) under uncultured bacterium. RNAcentral describes it as "bacterial SSU rRNA". It matches the Rfam family "Bacterial small subunit ribosomal RNA", at positions 392 to 920 of the family's 1533-position model. The record is from RNAcentral.
CCAUUCCGCGUGAGUGAAGAAGGCCUUACGGGGUUGUAAAGCUCUUUCAGCAGGAACGAAACGGUGGCCACUAAUACUGGCUACUAAUGACGGUACCUGAAGAAGAAGCACCGGCUAACUACGUGCCAGCAGCCGCGGUAAUACGUAGGGUGCGAGCGUUAAUCGGAAUUACUGGGCGUAAAGCGUGCGCAGGCGGUUCCAUAAGACAGAUGUGAAAUCCCCGGGCUUAACCUGGGAACUGCGUUUGUGACUGUGGGACUCGAGUGUGGCAGAGGGGGGUGGAAUUCCACGUGUAGCAGUGAAAUGCGUAGAGAUGUGGAGGAACACCGAUGGCGAAGGCAGCCCCCUGGGUCAACACUGACGCUCAUGCACGAAAGCGUGGGGAGCAAACAGGAUUAGAUACCCUGGUAGUCCACGCCCUAAACGAUGCGAACUAGGUGUUGGGGAAGGAGACUUUCUUAGUACCGCAGCUAACGCGUGAAGUUCGCCGCCUGGGGAGUACGGUCGCAAGAUUAAAACUCAAAGGAAUUGACGGGGAC